This 74-nucleotide transfer RNA is filed under the name bacterium. RNAcentral's name for it is "tRNA-Lys". It matches the Rfam family "tRNA". From Rfam's summary of the family: Transfer RNA (tRNA) molecules are approximately 80 nucleotides in length. RNAcentral also lists the same sequence under 1 other name. The record is from RNAcentral.
GGGUCGCUAGCUCAAUCUGGCAGAGCAACGGACUCUUAAUCCGCAGGUUCCGGGUUCGAGUCCCGGGCGACCCA